RNAcentral lists this ribosomal RNA (274 nucleotides) under uncultured bacterium. RNAcentral describes it as "partial 16S ribosomal RNA". It matches the Rfam family "Bacterial small subunit ribosomal RNA", at positions 523 to 796 of the family's 1533-position model. The record is from RNAcentral.
CUACGGAGGGUGCAAGCGUUACUCGGAAUCACUGGGCGUAAAGCGCGCGCAGGCGGCCAUUUAAGUUGGAUGUGAAAGCCUACGGCUCAACCGUAGAACUGCAUCCAAAACUAUUUGGCUAGAGUGUGCGAGAGGAAGAUGGAAUUAGUUGUGUAGGGGUAAAAUCCGUAGAGAUAACUAGGAAUACCAAAAGCGAAGGCAAUCUUCUGGAACACUACUGACGCUGAGGCGCGAAAGCGUGGGGAGCAAACAGGAUUAGAAACCCUAGUAGUCC